AGAGAUGGAUUCGUGCUCGAAAGAGAGCCAUAACACAGGUGCUGCAUGGCUGUCGUCAGCUCGUGUCGUGAGAUGUUGGGUUAAGUCCCGCAACGAGCGCAACCCUUGUCAUUAGUUGCUACAUUCAGUUGGGCACUCUAAUGAGACUGCCGGUGACAAACCGAAGGAAGGUGGGGAUGACGUCAAGUCCUCAUGGCCCUUAUAGGUGGGGCUACACACGUCAUACAAUGGCCGGUACAAAGGGUCGCAAACCCGCGAGGGGGAGCCAAUCCAUCAAAGCCGGUCGUAGUCCGGAUCGCAGUCUGCAACUCGACUGCGUGAAGUCGGAAUCGCUAGUAAUCGUGGAUCAGCAUGUCACGGUGAAUACGUUCCCGGGUCUU
RNAcentral lists this ribosomal RNA (380 nucleotides) under uncultured Hydrogenophaga sp. Its description in RNAcentral is "bacterial SSU rRNA". It matches the Rfam family "Bacterial small subunit ribosomal RNA", at positions 1002 to 1382 of the family's 1533-position model. Lineage: Bacteria; Pseudomonadati; Pseudomonadota; Betaproteobacteria; Burkholderiales; Comamonadaceae. The record is from RNAcentral.